CGGAGCGGCCGGGCCGGACUACCGGAGCCCUCGCCCCGCGACUGGCCGACCCUGACCCCGGGCCGGCGGGCCCGGCGCCGCCCGUCCCCUCGCAUGCCGUGAGCACUACCAGCAGGAGAGGCGGCAGCACUACAGACCCGGCGCUGCAGUGCUCGCUUCUUCCCUUCAGGGGACGGUGCUGCACACAAAAGCCGGCUCAGCAUUGUUCUCCCUGACCCGCAAAUCCCCUUUUGCCCGCCGCUGAGUCGCCGGGAGAGUCACCAGAGCCUCCUUCUCGAGUUUCCACGCGGGAAUCACCCACUCCACGCACCCGCGGUGGGGGGCAACCCCAAAACCAGUACUGAAGCAAGACAUUACUUGGGGGCUUUGCCCUCAGGUCUGCGCAAAGCGAGCUGCUCCUUCACUUCGAGGGGCUUGCUUUGCCGACCCGGCGGCACGGCAAGGGCAGCGCUGUCCCCGCGGCCGCCCCGGUGCCGCGGAGCGCCGGGAUCCAACCCUCACCACUGCGCGAAAGCCACGGCGCGGCGGGAAAAGAGACGCGGGAACCGGCGGAAAACUCAAAAGCACGUGGGGAGGAGCGCAGGAGCCACGACACUGAGGAAAAACCACGGCUCGAUUUAAAUAAUUGCAUAAUAUUAGGAUUUAACUUAUAAAUGUUUACAUUUGGGUGA
Non-coding RNA from Phalacrocorax carbo (great cormorant), 671 nucleotides. The record is from RefSeq and is a predicted model, not a curated record. NCBI's taxonomy places the organism in Eukaryota, Metazoa, Chordata, Aves, Suliformes, Phalacrocoracidae.